CAAAGGCAUGGUCCUGACCUUAUUAUCAGCUCUUACCCGACUUACACAUGCAAGUCUCCGCAAUCCCGUGAGUAUGCCCUCAAUCCCCUGCCCGGGGACGAGGAGCGGGCAUCAGGCACAAAUUUUAGCCCAAGACGCCUGGCCAAGCCACACCCCCAAGGGAAUUCAGCAGUGAUAAACAUUAAGCCAUAAGUGAAAACUUGACUCAGUCAAGGUAAAGAGGGCCGGUAAAACUCGUGCCAGCCACCGCGGUUAAACGAGAGGCCCUAGUUGAUAAAACCACGGCGUAAAGGGUGGUUAAGGAAAGCAAACAAAUUAAAGCCAAAUGGCCCUUUGGCCGUCAUACGCUUCUAGGUGUCCGAAGCCCAAUUAUACGAAAGUAGCUUUAUAAAGCCCACC
This 399-nucleotide ribosomal RNA is filed under the name Hypophthalmichthys molitrix (silver carp). Its description in RNAcentral is "partial 12S ribosomal RNA". The record is from RNAcentral. Lineage: Eukaryota; Metazoa; Chordata; Actinopteri; Cypriniformes; Xenocyprididae.